RNAcentral lists this long non-coding RNA (309 nucleotides) under Elaeis guineensis (African oil palm). RNAcentral's name for it is "long non-coding RNA (EGUI_LNC007715)". The record is from RNAcentral. Lineage: Eukaryota; Viridiplantae; Streptophyta; Magnoliopsida; Arecales; Arecaceae.
UGGGGGUUAAACGUUGGUAUUUGAUGGUUCUUUCCAAUGGGGGUUAAGCAUUGGUCAUAGUUAAAAGCUAUUAAGUUAUAUAUAUUUUGUUUCAAAUUAGAUUUAUGAUUAUAUAUGCAUAUAAGUAUUUAAAAAGAUUUGAUUUGCAUUAAUUAGCAUAGAAUAUAUAUGUUUAUUUUUGAUAUUUAUUUUCGAACAUCAUAUCUUAUGAUAAUACUGAGAAUGUCUAGUCGAUAUAUUUAUUACUUAUUGGGCUAUCGAACUCAUUAUCUCUCAUAUGUUUUUAGAUUUAGAUUGUUAAUUACAGAC